Molecule: unclassified non-coding RNA, 431 nt
Filed under: Hevea brasiliensis (rubber tree)
Lineage: Eukaryota; Viridiplantae; Streptophyta; Magnoliopsida; Malpighiales; Euphorbiaceae
Source: RNAcentral
GGCUUUUUUUGCUUUGUUGUUUUUCAUUUAGUUCAAAAAUGGAGAAAAUCAGGAAAGCAUCUCAUGCUGGUUCUUGGUACACUGAUAAUCCCCUAGAACUAGAAGAACAGCUUGAUGGCUGGCUGAGAGCUGCUGGCUUAGUCAAGUCUUCUGAUGUACGAGGUGUAAUUGCACCUCAUGCAGGCUAUUCAUAUUCUGGUCGUGCAGCAGCUUAUGCAUUUGGGAACAUAGACCCGACCAAUAUUUCUCGGAUAUUUCUACUCGGUCCAUCUCACCACUAUUAUACUCCAAAAUGUGCACUUUCAAGAGCCACAGUUUACAAGACUCCUAUAGGAGAUUUACCCAUUGAUGAAGAAGUAAAUGACGAGCUAAAAGCUACGGGGCACUUUGAAUACAUGGAUCUUAGAGUUGAUGAAGCUGAACAUAGCAUG